AACGAACGCUGGCGGCAGGCCUAACACAUGCAAGUCGAGCGAGAUCUUCGGGUCUAGCGGCGGACGGGUGAGUAACGCGUGGGAAUAUGCCUCUUGGUACGGAAUAGCCUCGGGAAACUGGGAGUAAUACCGUAUGUGCCCUUUGGGGGAAAGAUUUAUCGCCAAGAGAUUAGCCCGCGUUGGAUUAGGUAGUUGGUGGGGUAAUGGCCUACCAAGCCGACGAUCCAUAGCUGGUUUGAGAGGAUGAUCAGCCACACUGGGAAUGAGACACGGCCCAGACUCCGACGGGAGGCAGCAGUGGGGAAUCUUAGACGAUGGGGGCAAACCUGAUCUAGCCAUGCCGCGUGAGUGAUGAAGGCGUUAGGGUUGUAAAGCUCUUUCAGCUGGGAAGAUAAUGACGGUACCAGCAGAAGAAGCCCCGGCUAACUCCGUG
This 433-nucleotide ribosomal RNA is filed under the name uncultured bacterium. RNAcentral's name for it is "partial 16S ribosomal RNA". It matches the Rfam family "Bacterial small subunit ribosomal RNA", at positions 29 to 507 of the family's 1533-position model. The record is from RNAcentral.